UGCCCUGUAGCUCAGUGGAAGAGCAGUCGCCUGUUAAGCGAACGGUCGUAGGUUCAAUCCCUACCAGGGCAGCCA
RNAcentral lists this transfer RNA (75 nucleotides) under Microcoleus sp. FACHB-SPT15. Its description in RNAcentral is "tRNA-Asn". It matches the Rfam family "tRNA". Rfam says of the family: Transfer RNA (tRNA) molecules are approximately 80 nucleotides in length. Their secondary structure includes four short double-helical elements and three loops (D, anti-codon, and T loops). Lineage: Bacteria; Bacillati; Cyanobacteriota; Cyanophyceae; Oscillatoriales; Microcoleaceae. The record is from RNAcentral. RNAcentral also lists the same sequence under 3 other names.